Molecule: non-coding RNA, 46 nt
Filed under: Paramuricea clavata
Lineage: Eukaryota; Metazoa; Cnidaria; Anthozoa; Malacalcyonacea; Plexauridae
Rfam family: Histone 3' UTR stem-loop
About the family: The mRNAs of metazoan histone genes lack a poly-A tail. 3' end processing occurs at a site between a highly conserved stem-loop (modelled by this family) and a purine rich region around 20 nts downstream (the histone downstream element, or HDE). The stem-loop is bound by a 31 kDa stem-loop binding protein (SLBP - also termed the histone hairpin binding protein, or HBP).
Source: RNAcentral
AAAACGGCUCUUAUAAGAGCCAUCAAAUGUCGUGAAAGAAUUGAAC